CUACGGGUUGCUGCAGCUAAGAAUAUUCCGCAAUGGGAGAGAUCCUGACGGAGCGACGCCGCGUGAACGAUGAAGGCAGAAAUGUUGUAAAGUUCUUUUAUACGGGAAGAAUAAUGUUAUUCAGAGAAAGUCUAACAGAUGACGGUACCGUAUGAAUAAGCCCCGGCUAACUACGUGCCAGCAGCCGCGGUAAUACGUAGGGGGCAAGCGUUGUUCGGAUUUAUUGGGCGUAAAGGGCAUGUAGGCUGUUUUGCAAGUGUGGAUUGAAAGGCCGGAGCUUAACUCCGUGUUUGGUCUGCAAACUGCAAGACUUGAGUUUAGGAUGGGAGACUGGAAUUCCACGUGUAGGGGUGAAAUCUGUAGAGAUGUGGAAGAAUACCGGUGGCGAAGGCGAGUCUCUGGCCUAAUACUGACGCUGAGAUGCGAAAGCGUGGGGAGCGAACAGGAUUAGAUACCCGUGUAGUC
This 465-nucleotide ribosomal RNA is filed under the name uncultured bacterium. RNAcentral's name for it is "partial 16S ribosomal RNA". It matches the Rfam family "Bacterial small subunit ribosomal RNA", at positions 339 to 795 of the family's 1533-position model. The record is from RNAcentral.